Molecule: ribosomal RNA, 319 nt
Filed under: uncultured eukaryote
Lineage: Eukaryota
Description: partial 18S ribosomal RNA
Rfam family: Eukaryotic small subunit ribosomal RNA
Source: RNAcentral
CCCUUAGAUGUUCUGGGCCGCACGCGCGCUACACUGAAUGGAUCAACGUGUUUUCCCUUCCCGAGAGGGACGGGUAACCCGCUGAACCCCAUUCGUGGUAGGGAUCGGAGCUUGCAAUUGUUCUCCGUGAACCAGGAAUUCCCAGUAAGCGCAAGUCAUAAGCUUGCGUUGAUUACGUCCCUGCCCUUUGUACACACCGCCCGUCGCACCUACCGAUUGAAUGGUCCGGUGAAAUCUCGGGACGGCGGCUUGGUCGCUUGCGUCCGACUGCUGAAACUUGAUUAAACCAUAUCAUUUAGAGGAAGGUGAANUCGUAACA